AUGAGGCUCCUUGCUCAGCUUCUGGGGCUGCUAAUGCUCUGGGUCCCUGGAUCCAGUGGGGAUAUUGUGAUGACCCAGACUCCACUCUCCUCACCUGUCACCCUUGGACAGCCGGCCUCCAUCUCCUGCAGGUCUAGUCAAAGCCUCGUACACAGUGAUGGAAACACCUACUUGAGUUGGCUUCAGCAGAGGCCAGGCCAGCCUCCAAGACUCCUAAUUUAUAAGAUUUCUAACCGGUUCUCUGGGGUCCCAGACAGAUUCAGUGGCAGUGGGGCAGGGACAGAUUUCACACUGAAAAUCAGCAGGGUGGAAGCUGAGGAUGUCGGGGUUUAUUACUGCAUGCAAGCUACACAAUUUCCU
Non-coding RNA from Homo sapiens (human), 360 nucleotides. The record is from the annotation of a RefSeq genome assembly. NCBI's taxonomy places the organism in Eukaryota, Metazoa, Chordata, Mammalia, Primates, Hominidae.